CCCUUAGAUGUUCUGGGCUGCACGCGCGCUACACUGAUGCACUCAACGAGUUUACGACCUUGCCCGAUAGGGUUGGGUAAUCUUUUUAAAAUGCAUCGUGAUGGGGAUAGAUUAUUGCAAUUAUUAAUCUUCAACGAGGAAUUCCUAGUAAGCGCGAGUCAUCAGCUCGUGCUGAUUACGUCCCUGCCCUUUGUACACACCGCCCGUCGCUCCUACCGAUUGAGUGCUCAGGUGAAUAAUUCGGACCGCAGCAAUGUUUGGAUCCCGAACGUUGCAGCGGAAAGUUUAGUGAACCUUAUCACUUAGAGGAAGGAGAAGUCGUAACA
Molecule: ribosomal RNA, 326 nt
Filed under: uncultured eukaryote
Lineage: Eukaryota
Description: partial 18S ribosomal RNA
Rfam family: Eukaryotic small subunit ribosomal RNA
Source: RNAcentral